GAAAAAUCGUAAAUCCCCAUUUGUUCAUAAUGUUACGUACAUCAUUGUAUUUCAUUCAUUAUAUUGCAGUGUACCUGCAUCGUACAUGUAGCUAUUGCUAUUGCUAUAUCAGCUAUUGUCGGGAUAAUGCAUGUAUGAGUCGGAAAAGAAAAAAUAUAAAACAUAAUAAAUAAAUAAAAAAAAAAACUACAAUCGUCAUACAUGUAUGACAAGCUUUUAAUUUAGUACGCCCAGAUAUCACUCGUAUAUCAUUUUUACAAAUAACACAUCAAACCUAACCAUUUGAUAGUCUCGUGAGAAUAAUUUACACGAAACUGUUUUUAAUAUUUAAUAAUCAUGUGAAAUGUAUCUUAAUAGGACAGAGUACUAAGGAGACAGAAAAUAUAAUGGACCAUGGUUAUUAUAUAUAAUUGGACCAUUACAUACAUUUAAAUAUAUGAUUAUUAUUUAUGAUUUCAAGC
This 461-nucleotide long non-coding RNA is filed under the name Mytilus galloprovincialis (Mediterranean mussel). The record is from RNAcentral. Lineage: Eukaryota; Metazoa; Mollusca; Bivalvia; Mytilida; Mytilidae.